CAAAGUGUUCAAGAGCUGCUACUACUUGCAGCACAACGCAUAAGGUUGGUAAGGCUAGGCCAAAGUUCAAAGCCACUCAUGAUAUGGAUUUCAAUCGUGAGGAUACCCUGUUAUUCAACUAUUUAUUCUCAGAUGGAUAUUCAGACGAAGAAACCCUUGUCAGAAUGCUCCAAUAUCGACUCACUAGGUGACAUAUUCAAACGUUGAUACCUGGAUGACCUAUAGAUGGGAGGGUCGUUGAAAUGGUAGCAAUGCAAAACACAUGUUCAAAUCAACAUGUUAGGCAUCCAUUCUUUU
This is a non-coding RNA of Arachis ipaensis, 297 nucleotides long. The record is from RefSeq and is a predicted model, not a curated record. Lineage: Eukaryota; Viridiplantae; Streptophyta; Magnoliopsida; Fabales; Fabaceae.